UUUUGAAUUUNAUAUAAAGUCUGACCUGCCCACUGAAUAAAUUUUAAAGGGCCGCAGUAUUUUGACUGUGCAAAGGUAGCAUAAUCAUUAGUCUUUUAAUUGAAGGCUGGUAUGAAUGGUUGGAUGAGAUACAAGCUGUGUCAUAAAAAUUAAAAUUUGAAUUUAACUUUUUAGUUAAAAGGCUAAAAUAAUUUUAAAAGACGAGAAGACCCUAUAGAGCUUCAUAUAAUAAAUAUUUAAAUUAUUAAGAUUUAUUAAAUUUAAUUUUUGUAUUAUAUUUUGUUGGGGUGAUAAUAAAAUUUAUAAAACUUUUAUUUUUAUUUAACAUUUAUUUAUGUUUAAAUGAUCCAUUUUUAUUGAUUAUAAAUUUAAGUUACCUUAGGGAUAACAGCGUAAUUUUUUUUGAGAGUUCUUAUCGACAAAAAAGAUUGCGACCUCGAUGUUGGAUUAAGAGUAAUUUUGGGUGUAGCAGUUCAAAGUUUAAGUCUGUUCGACUUUUAGAAUCUUACAU
RNAcentral lists this ribosomal RNA (511 nucleotides) under Simulium duolongum. RNAcentral describes it as "partial 16S ribosomal RNA". The stretch from base 384 to 511 matches the Rfam family "Bacterial large subunit ribosomal RNA", at positions 2473 to 2601 of the family's 2925-position model. Lineage: Eukaryota; Metazoa; Arthropoda; Insecta; Diptera; Simuliidae. The record is from RNAcentral.